This 530-nucleotide ribosomal RNA is filed under the name uncultured Campylobacterota bacterium. RNAcentral's name for it is "bacterial SSU rRNA". It matches the Rfam family "Bacterial small subunit ribosomal RNA", at positions 338 to 873 of the family's 1533-position model. Lineage: Bacteria; Pseudomonadati; Campylobacterota. The record is from RNAcentral.
UGUACGGGAGGCAGCAGUGGGGAAUAUUGCACAACGGACGAAAGUCUGAUGCAGCAACGCCGCUUGGAGUAUUACACAUUUUGGUGCGUAAACUCCUUUUAUAUGAGAAGAUAAUGACGGUAUUAUAUGAAUAAGCACCGGCUAACUCCGUGCCAGCAGCCGCGGUAAUACGGGGGGUGCAAGCGUUAUUUGGAAUCACUGGGCGUAAAGAGCAUGUAGGCGGAUUAAUAAGUUUGAAGUGAAAUCCUAUAGCUUAACUAUAGAACUGCUUUGAAAACUGUUAAUCUAGAAUGUGGGAGAGGUAGAUGGAAUUUCUGGUGUAGGGGUAAAAUCCGUAGAGAUCAGAAGGAAUACCGAUUGCGAAGGCGAUCUACUGGAACAUUAUUGACGCUGAGAUGCGAAAGCGUGGGGAGCAAACAGGAUUAGAUACCCUGGUAGUCCACGCCCUAAACGAUGUACACUAGUUGUUGUGAGACUUGAUCUUGCAGUAAUGCAGCUAACGCGUUAAGUGUACCGCCNGGAGACGGACU